Molecule: ribosomal RNA, 253 nt
Filed under: uncultured bacterium
Lineage: Bacteria
Description: partial 16S ribosomal RNA
Rfam family: Bacterial small subunit ribosomal RNA
Source: RNAcentral
GACAGAGGUGCCAAGCGUUAGGCGGAAUCACUGGGCUUAAAGCGUGUGUAGGCGGAGUUCUAAGUACCUUGUGAAAUCCCACGGCUUAACCGUGGAACUGCUUGGUAUACUGGUUCUCUUGGGCCAUCUAGGGGCUACCGGAACAAACGGUGGAGCGGUGAAAUGCGUAGAUAUCUGAAGGAACACCAGUGGCGAAAGCGGCUUCCUGGUCCAGUACCGACGUUCAGGCACGAAAGCGUGGGGAGCAAACAGG